AGGAUCUGCUUCAGAAACUGGUUGGUCGUCAGUUUCUGAGGUGUUCGUCUUUUCUCAUGUUGGUGGCUGAGUAAAUGUGGAUGAGAAGGCAGGUGUCCGCUUCUUGGGAGCUGGACGUGUAGGCCCUGGACUCGUGGGCCCCUUCCGGGCGAGGAAGGCCUCCUCCUCCGCCUCUCUCUGCUUCAUCCCGGCCUCCGUCUUUCCCCUACUUCCUUCCUCUUUGCUUCCUGCCUUUGCUUCCUUUCUCCCACUUCCUCCUUCCCUCACAUCCUAUAUUCACUAAAGGCUUAAGAAACUCCACAAGGAUGAAUACAUGCCUUGCUAUCAGGGAUAUAAAUGUCUCUCCAGCGUCCCCUGACCCUGUGUUUUUUAACUAGCCUUCCCCUCCCUGCUCCUUCGGUCAUAACCUGGACCGUUGAGAAGUUGAAGCAGAUGCUCUCCUGCAAAGAUUCUGGACGCUACCCACAACUCAUUAUCAGUAGACGUAUCAGAGACAUCACACCUGGACAGGUCCCAUUCUCUACAAGAUUAAUGUCACUGCUUGUGGGAGACGCUGCCUUCCCUUCCAGACUCACAGAAGCACAGCUUUGAUAAUUAAUCCUGAUAACACCAACACAGAGACCGACAUACCUGACAUCGUACUCAAGUGACUCGCAGAAAGGAAAAACGUCUCACUUGAACAUGGUAAAAUACUAUGAAAAUGUAUAUUUUGCUAGCUUUCAUGGGAGAAAAUUUGUAUUUUCCCUGGCUGAUUUUCAUUUGGACUUAAGUGUUUGUUUUGAAGGCCAUACAGAAGUGAACCUGGGAGAGAUUAAAUUUUGCCCCCAGUGAAGUCACUAAAUUCAGUGGAUUUUAAUUACUUCUGUCCCCCUGGGCUUUCCCCACCCCACUUCAUUUCUCAGACGUUCC
Molecule: long non-coding RNA, 909 nt
Filed under: Bos grunniens (domestic yak)
Lineage: Eukaryota; Metazoa; Chordata; Mammalia; Artiodactyla; Bovidae
Description: lncRNA (ENSBGRG00000026705.1)
Source: RNAcentral